AAUUCCAAUUAAUUAUAGUCGAGUUUCGACUACUGCAGGACCGCCAGUCCUCUUAAAUAUGAUUGUAAUAAUGACAAUGUUUGUCAAAUGUAAAUGAAAUGAUAAUGAUUGUAAGGGCUAAGAACCCACGCAAGUAUAUAAUACCACCCAAUUUGCAAACCUGUUUGCAGGUGAUUCCUGGAACCCAUAGAAAUUACAACGUGAAUGCCAGAAAUAAGUUUGCGCGGCUACAGCUAAAUAAUUAUACGCCUCACCAGUACAGUCGACCUUAGCAAGUUGAAGGUCAUGACGGAUACCAUGUGUCCACAGCAUACUUUCCCCAGGGCCGAACCAAUAUAUUAAGAAUCGUAAAAAAACAUUCAGGUGUUUUUUCGCAAAUAUUAUCAAGAAAUAUCUCAAAAAUAAUGGGCAACUUACGGAAACAGUGUCUACUCAUUAUUUUCCGAGAGGCAGAAAUGGCAGACACAGGGUCUGUCGCGGCCAUCUGGACCCGACUUAUUGGCGGUCAAACGGUGACCAUCGCGGCCCACUGGGCUAAACGUGGUUUCUAGUCUACUGUUCAACGUGUUAAAGGCAUUAUGGCCUAAAAGAUAAAAUACCCUGUGUUCGCAUAUCGAACGAUGCAACUAUGUCGAUGCUCGAAUCCUGUAUGCAAAUACCAAAUUUUCUAAUAAAAUGCAUUCUUAAGUCA
Molecule: long non-coding RNA, 691 nt
Organism: Bombyx mori (domestic silkworm)
Lineage: Eukaryota; Metazoa; Arthropoda; Insecta; Lepidoptera; Bombycidae
Exons: 2
Source: RefSeq, a predicted model, not a curated record